UACGUAGGGUGCAAGCGUUAAUCGGAAUUACUGGGCGUAAAGCGUGCGCAGGCGGUUCGCUAAGACAGAUGUGAAAUCCCCGGGCUUAACCUGGGAACUGCAUUUGUGACUGGCGGGCUAGAGUAUGGCAGAGGGGGGUAGAAUUCCACGUGUAGCAGUGAAAUGCGUAGAGAUGUGGAGGAAUACCAGAGGCGAAGGCGCCUUGCCAGGUCUAGACUGACACUCAGACGCGAAAGCAUGGGGAGCGAACGGG
RNAcentral lists this ribosomal RNA (253 nucleotides) under uncultured bacterium. Its description in RNAcentral is "partial 16S ribosomal RNA". It matches the Rfam family "Bacterial small subunit ribosomal RNA", at positions 524 to 776 of the family's 1533-position model. The record is from RNAcentral.